RNAcentral lists this ribosomal RNA (371 nucleotides) under uncultured organism. RNAcentral describes it as "partial 16S ribosomal RNA". It matches the Rfam family "Bacterial small subunit ribosomal RNA", at positions 526 to 896 of the family's 1533-position model. The record is from RNAcentral.
GUAGGGGUGCAAGCGUUAAUCGGAAUUACUGGGCGUAAAGCGUGCGCAGGCGGUUUUGUAAGUCUGACGUGAAAUCCCCGGGGCUCAACCUGGGAAUUGCGUUGGAGACUGCAAGGCUAGAAUCUGGCAGAGGGGGGUAGAAUUCCACGUGUAGCAGUGAAAUGCGUAGAGAUGUGGAGGAACACCGAUGGCGAAGGCAGCCCCCUGGGUCAAGAUUGACGCUCAUGCACGAAAGCGUGGGGAGCAAACAGGAUUAGAUACCCUGGUAGUCCACGCCCUAAACGAUGUCUACUAGUUGUCGGGUUUUAAUUAACUUGGUAACGCAGCUAACGCGUGAAGUAGACCGCCUGGGGAGUACGGUCGCAAGAUUA